RNAcentral lists this ribosomal RNA (254 nucleotides) under uncultured bacterium. RNAcentral describes it as "partial 16S ribosomal RNA". It matches the Rfam family "Bacterial small subunit ribosomal RNA", at positions 524 to 776 of the family's 1533-position model. The record is from RNAcentral.
UACGUAGGGUGCAAGCGUUAAUCGGAAUUACUGGGCGUAAAGCGUGCGCAGGCGGUUUUGUAAGUUUGUCGUGAAAGCCCCGGGCUCAACCUGGGAAUUGCGAUGAAGACUGCAAGGCUUGAAUCUGGCAGAGGGGGGUAGAAUUCCACGUGUAGCAGUGAAAUGCGUAGAGAUCGUAAGGAAGGCCAGUGGCGAAGGCGAGUUCCUGGACAGUUACUGACGCUGGAGGCACGAAGGCCAGGGGAGCAAACGGG